RNAcentral lists this long non-coding RNA (278 nucleotides) under Arabidopsis lyrata. RNAcentral's name for it is "long non-coding RNA (ALYR_LNC000094)". The record is from RNAcentral. Lineage: Eukaryota; Viridiplantae; Streptophyta; Magnoliopsida; Brassicales; Brassicaceae.
AUGGGUCUUUUCGAGUAUGUUCAAUAGAAGUAAGUGAAGAAGAUUACCUUGAAUCUCGCCGGCGCCGAUCCGAUAAAGUAGACUGAGAGACAAAAUCCAGCGGUCAAAGAGAAGGAAGAAUCAGGAUGUGACGAAGAUGGACUUAAAUUUCGUAAUGGGCUUUUGAAAGCAGCACAGGCCCAUAAUAUGAGAGGACUUAGAAGUUAGAAGUUAGAAGUUAGAAGUUAGAACCUUUUUUUUUUUUUGUUUGGUUAAAGAACUUAGAACAUUUUCAAAUA